Molecule: long non-coding RNA, 734 nt
Organism: Alligator sinensis (Chinese alligator)
Lineage: Eukaryota; Metazoa; Chordata; Crocodylia; Alligatoridae
Exons: 3
Source: RefSeq, a predicted model, not a curated record
CACUGAUGGUGCAAUGCUUGUGCCUGCAGCUCCGGGAGGUGUUUGAGGACGUGGCUGUGUAUUUCACACGGGAGGAGUGGGAGCUGCUGGACGAUGAAGACAAGGUGCUUUACCAGGAGCAGAUGCUGAAGAAUCACCAAGUCCUCGUUUCCCUGGGUAAAGCUUUGGGUCUUGCUUUCCCCCUGUGACCACUCCUCAUCUCCUGGGUGACAAGGACUGUUAUCUCUUGAAGGCUUCUCCCUGCAGUGCCUUCUCUUCUUAAAUGCCCAUCCUUCUUUGUCCAUCAAGGCCCUAGUAGAGACUUUGAUUUCACUGGAUCCAGUCCCCAAAUCCCAGUUGGAUUCUGCAUCCAGUACCCAGUCACAAAUGCUCUUUAACCACUGCCCACACAGGAUAUUGAGGUCCCACACCUGACUUAAAAUCUGCAGCAUCCAGCAAGGACAGGUGGAGCUCUGGACCUAUGAUGAUGAGGACCGUGGGGAAAUCUCAAGAUGGGAGGACCUGCUGCCAGGAGGUGCCUGGCCACUGAGCAGAGCUGAGGAGCAGCCUCCUGUGGAAGGGUCUGCAGACCUGGAGCCAGCGCAGACUUCCCCAGGGAGUUUGGGUGAGAUGGACUCCCUGAGACCUGAGAAGGAGCCAUGCCACGAGAGUCGGGGGAGGCCUCAAACACAGAAGGAGAGUCUAGCAAUGAACCAGGUACGGGACGUGCUGCAGACACAGGACCAGUAUCCUGC